This 253-nucleotide ribosomal RNA is filed under the name uncultured bacterium. RNAcentral describes it as "partial 16S ribosomal RNA". It matches the Rfam family "Bacterial small subunit ribosomal RNA", at positions 524 to 776 of the family's 1533-position model. The record is from RNAcentral.
UACGAGAGGCCCAAACGUUAUUCGGAUUUACUGGGCUUAAAGAGUUCGUAGGCGGCUUGGAAAGUGGGGUGUGAAAGCCCUCGGCUCAACCGAGGAAUUGCGCUCCAAACUACCGAGCUUGAGGAAGCUAGAGGUGAGCAGAACUGAUGGUGGAGCGGUGAAAUGCGUUGAUAUCAUCAGGAAUACCGGAGGCGAAGGCGGCUCACUGGGACUUUUCUGACGCUGAGGAACGAAAGAUAGGGGAGCAAACGGG